RNAcentral lists this ribosomal RNA (428 nucleotides) under uncultured bacterium. RNAcentral's name for it is "bacterial SSU rRNA". It matches the Rfam family "Bacterial small subunit ribosomal RNA", at positions 29 to 507 of the family's 1533-position model. The record is from RNAcentral.
AACGAACGCUGGCGGCAGGCUUAACACAUGCAAGUCGAACGCCCCGCAAGGGGAGUGGCAGACGGGUGAGUAACGCGUGGGAAUCUACCCAGUCCUUCGGAACAACACAGGGAAACUUGUGCUAAUACCGGAUACGCCCUACGGGGAAGAUUAUCGGGAUUGGAUGAGCCCGCGUUGGAUUAGCUAGUUGGUGAGGUAAAAGCUCACCAAGGCGACGAUCCAUAGCUGGUCUGAGAGGAUGAUCAGCCACACUGGGACUGAGACACGGCCCAGACUCCUACGGGAGGCAGCAGUGGGGAAUAUUGGACAAUGGGCGCAAGCCUGAUCCAGCCAUGCCGCGUGAGUGAUGAAGGCCUUAGGGUUGUAAAGCUCUUUCAGUGGGGACGGAUAAUGACGGUACCCACAGAAGAAGCCCGGCUAACUUCGUG